RNAcentral lists this ribosomal RNA (488 nucleotides) under uncultured bacterium. Its description in RNAcentral is "bacterial SSU rRNA". It matches the Rfam family "Bacterial small subunit ribosomal RNA", at positions 10 to 507 of the family's 1533-position model. The record is from RNAcentral.
AGUUUGAUCAUGGCUCAAGAAUCAACGCUGGCGGCGUGCCUCAGACAUGCAAGUCGAACGAUUAAGACUUCCUUCGGGAAGUGUAUAAAGUGGCGCACGGGUGAGUAACACGUAAGUAAUCUACCUUCGAGUGGGGAAUAACGUUCGGAAACGAACGCUAAUACCGCAUAAUGCAGCGGCAUCGCAAGAUGACAGUUGUUAAAGGAAUUUAUUUCGCUUGAAGAGGAGCUUGCGGCAGAUUAGCUAGUUGGUAAGGUAACGGCUUACCAAGGCUACGAUCUGUAUCCGGUCUAAGAGGACGGUCGGACACACUGACACUGAAUAACGGGUCGGACUCCUACGGGAGGCAGCAGUCGGGAAUUUUGGGCAAUGGGCGAAAGCCUGACCCAGCAACGCCGCGUGAAGGAUGAAGUAUUUCGGUAUGUAAACUUCGAAAGAAUGGGAAGAAUAAAUGACGGUACCAUUUAUAAGCUCCGGCUAACUACGUG